UACGUAGGGGGCAAGCGUUGUCCGGAUUUAUUUGGCGUAAAGAGCGUGUAGGCGGCCAGACAGGUCCGUUGUGAAAACUCGAGGCUCAACCUCGAGACGCCGAUGGAAACCGUUUGGCUAGAGUCCGGAAGAGGAGAGUGGAAUUCCCGGUGUAGCGGUGAAAUGCGCAGAUAUCGGGAAGAACACCCGUGGCUAAGGCGGCUCUCUAGUACGGUACUGACGCUGAGACGCGAAAGCGUGGGGAGCGAACAGG
This 253-nucleotide ribosomal RNA is filed under the name uncultured bacterium. RNAcentral's name for it is "partial 16S ribosomal RNA". It matches the Rfam family "Bacterial small subunit ribosomal RNA", at positions 524 to 776 of the family's 1533-position model. The record is from RNAcentral.